GACGAACGCUGGCGGCGUGCUUAACACAUGCAAGUCGAACGGAAAGGCCCUGCUUUUGUGGGGUGCUCGAGUGGCGAACGGGUGAGUAACACGUGAGUAACCUGCCCUUGACUUUGGGAUAACUUCAGGAAACUGGGGCUAAUACCGGAUAGGAGCUCCUGCUGCAUGGUGGGGGUUGGAAAGUUUCGGCGGUUGGGGAUGGACUCGCGGCUUAUCAGCUUGUUGGUGGGGUAGUGGCUUACCAAGGCUUUGACGGGUAGCCGGCCUGAGAGGGUGACCGGCCACAUUGGGACUGAGAUACGGCCCAGACUCCUACGGGAGGCAGCAGUGGGGAAUAUUGCACAAUGGGCGGAAGCCUGGUGCAGCAACGCCGCGUGCGGGAUGACGGCCUUCGGGUUGUAAACCGCUUUCGCCUGUGACGAAGCGUGAGUGACGGUAAUGGGUAAAGAAGCACCGGCUAACUACGUGCCAGCAGCCGCGGUGAUACGUAGGGUGCGAGCGUUGUCCGGAUUUAUUGGGCGUAAAGGGCUCGUAGGUGGUUGAUCGCGUCGGAAGUGUAAUCUUGGGGCUUAACCCUGAGCGUGCUUUCGAUACGGGUUGACUUGAGGAAGGUAGGGGAGAAUGGAAUUCCUGGUGGAGCGGUGGAAUGCGCAGAUAUCAGGAGGAACACCAGUGGCGAAGGCGGUUCUCUGGGCCUUUCCUGACGCUGAGGAGCGAAAGCGUGGGGAGCGAACAGGCUUAGAUACCCUGGUAGUCCACGCUGUAAACGGUGGGUACUAGGUGUGGGGUCCAUUCCACGGGUUCCGUGCCGUAGCUAACGCUUUAAGUACCCCGCCUGGGGAGUACGGCCGCAAGGCUAAAACUCAAAGGAAUUGACGGGGCCCCGCACAAGCGGCGGAGCAUGCGGAUUAAUUCGAUGCAACGCGUAGAACCUUACCUGGGUUUGACAUGGAUCGGGAGUGCUCAGAGAUGGGUGUGCCUCUUUUGGGGUCGGUUCACAGGUGGUGCAUGGCUGUCGUCAGCUCGUGUCGUGAGAUGUUGGGUUAAGUCCCGCAACGAGCGCAACCCUUGUUCACUGUUGCCAGCACGUUAUGGUGGGGACUCAGUGGAGACCGCCGGGGUCAACUCGGAGGAAGGUGGGGAUGACGUCAAGUCAUCAUGCCCCUUAUGUCCAGGGCUUCACGCAUGCUACAAUGGCUGGUACAGAGAGUGGCGAGCCUGUGAGGGUGAGCGAAUCUCGGAAAGCCGGUCUCAGUUCGGAUUGGGGUCUGCAACUCGACCUCAUGAAGUCGGAGUCGCUAGUAAUCGCAGAUCAGCAACGCUGCGGUGAAUACGUUCCCGGG
RNAcentral lists this ribosomal RNA (1343 nucleotides) under uncultured bacterium. RNAcentral's name for it is "16S ribosomal RNA". It matches the Rfam family "Bacterial small subunit ribosomal RNA", at positions 28 to 1378 of the family's 1533-position model. The record is from RNAcentral.